This 292-nucleotide ribosomal RNA is filed under the name uncultured bacterium. Its description in RNAcentral is "partial 16S ribosomal RNA". It matches the Rfam family "Bacterial small subunit ribosomal RNA", at positions 505 to 796 of the family's 1533-position model. The record is from RNAcentral.
GUGUCAGCAGCCGCGGUAAAACGUAGGGGACGAGCGUUAUCCGGAUUUACUGGGCGUAAAGCGCAUGUAGGUGGCUUGAAAAGUUGGACGUGAAAGCUCCCGGCUUAACUGGGAGAGGUCGUUCAAAACUGGCAAGCUUGAGGUUGGAAGAGGAGAGCGGAAUUCCCGGUGUAGUGGUGGAAUGCGUAGAUAUCGGGAGGAACACCAGUGGCGAAAGCGGCUCUCUGGUUCAAUACUGACACUGAGAUGCGAAAGCGUGGGGAGCGAACGGGAUUAGAAACCCGCGUAGUCC